ACAUUGAAACACCAGUUUCCAUAUGAUUGCUGAAGUUAAGCAACAUUGAGCCUGGUCAGUACCAAGAUGGGUGACCACUUGCCAAUACUAGGUGCUGUA
Non-coding RNA from Acanthosepion pharaonis, 99 nucleotides. Lineage: Eukaryota; Metazoa; Mollusca; Cephalopoda; Sepiida; Sepiidae. The record is from the annotation of a GenBank genome assembly.